AUGUUGGUGAACCAGACGCCUAGCCGCCACCCAAAAGAAACCCUAGAGAUGGAUCCUGACAUGGGAGAUGUCACAGAGGAGGAGGGGGCUGUGGAGGUUAGGGCAGCAGUAGCAGCACAGAGGAGGAGGAGGAGGAGGAGGAGGAGGAGGAGGCGCGGGCAGAGGGCACUAGAGGCGGCCCAGGAUGAGCAGCAACAGGAGUUCAACCGCCGACUCUCCGACAAGGUACUAAAGAAAUGCAAUGAUGAAGAACUGGAGCUGGUUUUCACUGGUGGCAGGGGAAGGACAUUCAUGGAUAUCAUUAGCUGGGCAAGGAUGAGGGCAGUCAUGGCUCCCCAUGCAGCUAAUAGGGCCAAGUGGGUAUGUUUCUUCGUGCGCUAUGACUGA
This 387-nucleotide ribosomal RNA is filed under the name Triticum aestivum (bread wheat). RNAcentral's name for it is "partial small subunit ribosomal RNA". The record is from RNAcentral. Lineage: Eukaryota; Viridiplantae; Streptophyta; Magnoliopsida; Poales; Poaceae.